Octopus bimaculoides (California two-spot octopus) is the source of this 3005-nucleotide long non-coding RNA. RefSeq lists it as uncharacterized. The record is from RefSeq and is a predicted model, not a curated record. Lineage: Eukaryota; Metazoa; Mollusca; Cephalopoda; Octopoda; Octopodidae.
AUAGAUAUGCAUAAACACGCACGCACACAUACAUGUACAUACACACAACACAUAAAUACAUAUAUAUGUACAAACAUAUAACAUGUAUACAUACAUAUACAUAAACGUUUAUAUAUACUUAUAUACAUGCAAAUAAAUAUAUACAACUAUCCAAACACUCACACAUAUCUAUACACACUCAGACACAUAUACCCACAAAACACGUACAUAUCAAUUCAUACGCAGAUACACCCAUACUUAGAAUACAUUUGUACAUAAACAGAGCAAUAAAAAAAAAGAAAAGAAAAGAAAAGAAAAGAAACGUAAAAGUCCCUGUUAAUAGUUUGCUAACAGGUGAUCUGUGAACUCAUUUCUCAGAAUGGCAUGUCUUGGGACAGUGUAUUUUAUUUCAUGUCGUUGCUAUCUCAGGACUAAAUAACAAUAUUUCGUAUGGAGAUUACCUGUGAUCGAUCCUGAGGAAUCAUUACGUCGGUAUUAAUUACUUUAGCACUGAUGCAUCAAGAGUUAUGGAAACAGACCGCAUUUCUUUCUUUAGCAAUAGCAGCAGCUUGCCUUUUAAUUUCCAUUUGAACUCACGUCUCAAUUAACAACGGAUGGAACAAAUCUUAACUUGGAUUAUGGAUGAUGGCAGCAAAUGACUAAAGUAUAAUCAUGACUCAGAGGAGACGAAACUUACCAAAUCGUGAUGCCUUCAAGGGAUUACCUGGACUGGAUUCGUUGCUAAUUAAUUCAUUAUUUUUUAAUAAGUUUCACAUCGAGGCAUUUGUGGCAAGAUACGGUUAACCAGACGGAUAGACAGGCGCACUCAUUUACUGUACCAUUGAUUUAUAUAAUAUUAUAACUUACUGUACAGUAGCGUAAAUGUAGUAGUAGUAGUAGUAGUAGUAGUAGUAGUAGUAGUAGUAGUAGUAGUAGUAGUAGUAGUAGGUGCUCGUGGUAUAGUAGUAAGCUGAAGGGCAUAUGUUGUAACGGAAAUCAAUCAAAUCAUUUUAAUUAACUCAAACGUUCGAAUUGAGUAUUCCAGACACAAGUGUGUGUCGACUUCCAUUGAAACAUGGUAGUUGAUAAACUUCAAUUAAAGUAUAUCAUAAGGUACUUGACCAUGUUGAUUUCAUAACAUAAGCGCUGUAAAAUCUUCAUCCUGCCGGUACUUUUCGGAUUUUUUAUUGAGGAACGAGGAAAUUACAGUUAUGAUAGGCUGCGAUUUAUUUAUUACUCCUUUUCAUGUGCUUGGUGAGUAUGACCUCUAAGAAUGCUAUUAUGGCACUCAACGCUGGAACAUUAAAUUGUAGAUACAGAGUUUGUUUUAGCUAAACUCUUCAACAUGCGAACUUGGUAACAAUCACAAGCAGAACCCUCUUCAGUGGAGUUAGACUUUUAUUAAGUAUCUGUGGUACGCGGUUUUCAUGACAAGGCGUUUUAUCUUUAGUGAAGACUAUGACAUUUCGAUUAUCUCAGUAUUUGAUAUGAGCAUUGUGAUGAGUAACCUCAGUUUAAUACGGUCGACCUUCCCCUUGCAUUUAUCGUUUGGAUGAAACCAUCAGAGCAAAGUUUCUCUAGCUUCAAGCAGUCAUCCUGAUUAAGUCUGUCCCGUUGAUGUGGGGCGCUCAAAAUUUAGCCGUUUUUCAGGAGACGCAUGCAAAAGUCAGGCCGAAUUACAAGGAGCGAUUCCUCUAAGAAGGCACUCCAUCGUAUCUCUGGUAGAUUUCUUGUACGAAAAGCAAAUGUUAUUGAUCACCAUACAGUUCUGUUUAGACAUUCUACUUUGGGUUUUCGAUAGGAUUCUAUAGAAUUAUUUUAGUGUGGUUAAUAACAUCUUGAGACAUAAAUUGAGAUUGAAGCUGGAGAACCAAACAUAAAUGAUAUUCUGCGUUAAAUUAAGAAACAGUAACGAGUGAAAGUUCUGUAAAUAAUUAUAAGCUUUAGCUUAAGUUCGCUGUAUAUUGGCAAUAGAAAAUAGAAAAAUAUUGGGGUAUAUAAUCCCUCUACAAAACUAGAUUGGGUAUUUGUGCGCGUGGGUCAGCACACUAAACGUGAAAAUAAGGGGUGUGGAUUCGAUUCCCACGCGUACUGAUACCCAUAUAUUUUCUGUCGACGUGGGGCGGUUAUAUGCCCCAGUAUUAUACUAUUUUCUAUUUCCAAUACACGGCGAACACUUAUGAUUAUUAUUUACUUAUAUAUUUUGAAGACAGCGAAUUGAUUCAGGAGUUGCCAUAUCAGAACACGCAAACAUCAUUGCAAACCUUCAAAAAUUCACAUUUAACCACAAUUUCAAUAGAGGUAUAAAUCAGACGAUGUUAGAGGUUAGUGUUUUGUAGAUUUCGAUUCAAAGUAUACACUGCAUUCAUCUCGAGAUACUUUUAUAUUUCUUCAAGAGAAAAUAGCAACUUCUGAGAUGUGACAGUGCUAUAAUCAUGUCACUUCUGGAUGGCACAACAUUUUUAUAUAUGAUUCCAAGUGAUGUUAUAAAGGUGAUUUUAUUAACUGUAGGUUAUGAAUGUACAAUUGCUUACAAUUACGAGGACUAAUUAUUCUUAAUGGACCGUUUAAGAUUAAGGGUCAUAGGGUUACUGCAGUCUUGGAAACAGAAUACAAACUAGUGACGAUUUGAUUGCUAAUGUGGGGCUCCUCACAAUGAACUACGUUGACAGAUGGCACACUGAAUCCUGUUUGAGGCAAGAGAAGCUGCUCAACAUUAUUACUGUGUUUCAUGGACAACAGAUAGUAAAAACAAGCAGGAAUACUGACAUAUUGAACAAAUGAUAAGGGAUAUUGUUGAGGGUGUCUCUACUUAUCGAAUAUCUGUACUUGAGGUUAAUACCAAGUAGAUUUGUAAUAAAGAAUCGUUUUACUUGGGGAAUUCAAUUAAAUCCAAUUCGGAAAACUAUUUCGCAAGAUUCAUAUAACAUAAUAUCAGUGGCACUUGCGUGUGCGUGCGUACGUGUGUGUGUGUGUGUGUGUGUGUGUGUGUGUGUGUGUGUGUGUGUGUGUGUGUGUGUGUGUGU